GAUGAACGCUGGCGGCGUGCCUAAUACAUGCAAGUCGAGCGAACAGACGAGGAGCUUGCUCCUCUGACGUUAGCGGCGGACGGGUGAGUAACACGUGGAUAACCUACCUAUAAGACUGGGAUAACUUCGGGAAACCGGAGCUAAUACCGGAUAAUAUAUUGAACCGCAUGGUUCAAUAGUGAAAGACGGUUUUGCUGUCACUUAUAGAUGGUUCCGCGCCGCAUUAGCUAGUUGGUAAGUUAACGGCUUACCAAGGCGACGAUGGGUAUCCGACCUGAGAGGGGGGUCGGCCACCCUGGAACUGAGACACGGUCCAGGCUCCUACGGGAGGCAGCAGUAGGGAAUCUUCCGCAAUGGGCGAAAGCCUGACGGAGCAACGCCGCGUGAGUGAUGAAGGUCUUGGGAUCGUAAAACUCUGUUAUUAGGGAAGAACAAAUGUGUAAGUAACUAUGCACGUCUUGACGGUACCUAAUCAGAAAGCCACGGCUAACUACGUG
This 497-nucleotide ribosomal RNA is filed under the name uncultured bacterium. RNAcentral's name for it is "partial 16S ribosomal RNA". It matches the Rfam family "Bacterial small subunit ribosomal RNA", at positions 28 to 507 of the family's 1533-position model. The record is from RNAcentral.